Molecule: non-coding RNA, 23 nt
Filed under: Rattus norvegicus (Norway rat)
Lineage: Eukaryota; Metazoa; Chordata; Mammalia; Rodentia; Muridae
Source: RNAcentral
AUAAUUACAGGUGACAUUUCCAU